Molecule: long non-coding RNA, 321 nt
Filed under: Homo sapiens (human)
Lineage: Eukaryota; Metazoa; Chordata; Mammalia; Primates; Hominidae
Description: HSALNT0148191
Source: RNAcentral
CAGGCCUGCACCACCACGCCCGGCUAGUUUUGUAUUUUUAGUAGAGGCGAGGUUUCACCAUGUUGGCCAUUCUGGUCUCAACCUCAUGACCUCAGGUAAUCCGCCUGCCUUGUCUUCCCAAAGUGCUGGGAUUACAGGUUUGAGCCACCGCACCCAGCCCCCUAGCUCAUUUUUUAAAGGGUAAUGCCAGCUGCUGUACUGAGACUAGACCACAGGGCUGAGUGGGAACAAGGGAAGAGGCUGGAAGACCAGAAGGCCCCUGCUAUAGUCUGAAAGAGGCAGCACUGGCUGGAACCAAGGGACACCCCGAUGAUGACCACG